This 465-nucleotide ribosomal RNA is filed under the name uncultured bacterium. Its description in RNAcentral is "partial 16S ribosomal RNA". It matches the Rfam family "Bacterial small subunit ribosomal RNA", at positions 28 to 507 of the family's 1533-position model. The record is from RNAcentral.
GACGAACGCUGGCGGCGUGCUUAACACAUGCAAGUCGAACGGAAAGGCCCCUUUGGGGGUACUCGAGUGGCGAACGGGUGAGUAACACGUGAGUAACCUGCCCUUGACUUCGGGAUAACUUCAGGAAACUGGGGCUAAUACCGGAUAGGAAUCCUUGCUGCAUGGUGGGGGUUGGAAAGCUUCGGCGGUUUUGGAUGGACUCGCGGCUUAUCAGCUUGUUGGUGGGGUAGUGGCUUACCAAGGCUUUGACGGGUAGCCGGCCUGAGAGGGCGACCGGCCACAUUGGGACUGAGAGACGGCCCAGACUCCGACGGGAGGCAGCAGUGGGGAAUAUUGCACAAGGGGCGGAAGCCUGAUGCAGCAACGCCGCGGGCGGGAUGACGGCCUUCGGGUUGUAAACCGCUUUCAGCAGGGGCGAAGCUUGUGGUGACGGUACCUGCAGAAGAAGCACCGGCUAACUACGUG